UGGCCAGACUCCUACGGGAGGCAGCAGUGGGGAAUAUUGCACAAUGGGCGAAAGCCUGAUGCAGCAACGCCGCGUGAAGGAAGAAGGGUUUCGGCUCGUAAACUUCUAUCAACAGGGACGAAAGAAAUGACGGUACCUGAAUAAGAAGCCCCGGCUAACUACGUGCCAGCAGCCGCGGUAAUACGUAGGGGGCAAGCGUUAUCCGGAAUUACUGGGUGUAAAGGGUGAGUAGGCGGCAUGGUAAGCCAGAUGUGAAAGCCUUGGGCUUAACCCGAGGAUUGCAUUUGGAACUAUCAAGCUAGAGUACAGGAGAGGAAAGCGGAAUUCCUAGUGUAGCGGUGAAAUGCGUAGAUAUUAGGAGGAACACCAGUGGCGAAGGCGGCUUACUGGACUGUAACUGACGUUGAGGCUCGAAAGCGUGGGGAGCAAACAGGAUUAGAUACCCUUGUAA
RNAcentral lists this ribosomal RNA (451 nucleotides) under uncultured bacterium. RNAcentral's name for it is "bacterial SSU rRNA". It matches the Rfam family "Bacterial small subunit ribosomal RNA", at positions 328 to 793 of the family's 1533-position model. The record is from RNAcentral.